This 476-nucleotide long non-coding RNA is filed under the name Apteryx owenii (little spotted kiwi). RNAcentral's name for it is "lncRNA (ENSAOWG00000005231.1)". Lineage: Eukaryota; Metazoa; Chordata; Aves; Apterygiformes; Apterygidae. The record is from RNAcentral.
GCACAUCUCCCGAAUUCACUGUGUGGCCAAGACCCUUGGUUCACAGGUUGUAAAGUCCAAGUGGGUCUAUAUCAUCCUCUAAUCUGAUAUCAUGAGGUUUAUUUAUUUCAACUAGGGCAUCUUUUUUUUUUCUCCCCAGAAAAACAAACACACAAACAAGCCAGCCACCAUGGGUUUAGUAAUUUCCAGUGAUGGCGAAUCCACAGCAAUGCCAGGUGAGAUUUCCACAGGUAGAUGGGGAACAUUUGUCCCUGGAGAAAGAACAGAAUAUUGCUGGGACUGAAAGACACAGUAGCUUGUUACACCCUAAAAAGAUGUUAACCCCUAUAUACUAAUCACACCCCUACUCAGGUAAAAAAACCUUUCAGGCUAGCGAAGUUAUCUCUUAACUUUUAAAUUGUCUAUGGUAUUCUUCUUAACUUCCUGUGCCUAACUGCUGGUAUUAUUAUUGCUCUACACUGCCAAAGAACUUUUUU